AGUGAACGCUGGCGGUAGGCCUAACACAUGCAAGUCGAACGGCAGCACAGUAAGAGCUUGCUCUUACGGGUGGCGAGUGGCGGACGGGUGAGGAAUACAUCGGAAUCUACUUUUUCGUGGGGGAUAACGUAGGGAAACUUACGUUAAUACCGCAUACGACCUACGGGUGAAAGCAGGGGAUCUUCGGACUUUGCGCGAUUGAAUGAGCCGAUGUCGGAUUAGCUAGUUGGCGGGGUAAAGGCCCACCAAGGCGACGAUCCGUAGCUGGUCUGAGAGGAUGAUCAGCCACACUGGAACUGAGACACGGUCCAGACUCCUACGGGAGGCAGCAGUGGGGAAUAUUGGACAAUGGGCGCAAGCCUGAUCCAGCCAUACCGCGUGGGUGAAGAAGGCCUCCGGGUUGUAAAGCCCUUUUGUUGGGAAAGAAAAGCAGCAGGUUAAUACCCCGCUGUUCUGACGGUACCCAAAGAAUAAGCACCGGCUAACUUCGUG
Molecule: ribosomal RNA, 492 nt
Filed under: uncultured bacterium
Lineage: Bacteria
Description: partial 16S ribosomal RNA
Rfam family: Bacterial small subunit ribosomal RNA
Source: RNAcentral